Molecule: ribosomal RNA, 424 nt
Filed under: Verrucomicrobiota bacterium
Lineage: Bacteria; Pseudomonadati; Verrucomicrobiota
Description: Verrucomicrobia bacterium partial 16S ribosomal RNA
Rfam family: Bacterial small subunit ribosomal RNA
Source: RNAcentral
UGAGGAAUAUUGGUCAAUGGGCGAGAGCCUGAACCAGCCAAGUAGCGUGCAGGAUGACGGCUCUAUGGGUUGUAAACUGCUUUUAUGCGGGGAUAAAGUGCGUGACGUGUCGUGCAUUGCAGGUACCGAAUGAAUAAGGACCGGCUAAUUCCGUGCCAGCAGCCGCGGUAAUACGGAAGGUCCGGGCGUUAUCCGGAUUUAUUGGGUUUAAAGGGAGCGUAGGCCGCCAGAUAAGCGUGUUGUGAAAUGUACCGGCUCAACCGGUGAAUUGCAGCGCGAACUGUUUGGCUUGAGUGCACGGUAAGCAGGCGGAAUUCAUGGUGUAGCGGUGAAAUGCAUAGAUAUCAUGAAGAACUCCGAUUGCGAAGGCAGCUUGCUGCAGUGCGACUGACGCUGAUGCUCGAAGGUGCGGGUAUCAAACAGG